Molecule: transfer RNA, 70 nt
Filed under: Dipodomys ordii (Ord's kangaroo rat)
Lineage: Eukaryota; Metazoa; Chordata; Mammalia; Rodentia; Heteromyidae
Rfam family: tRNA
About the family: Transfer RNA (tRNA) molecules are approximately 80 nucleotides in length. Their secondary structure includes four short double-helical elements and three loops (D, anti-codon, and T loops). Further hydrogen bonds mediate the characteristic L-shaped molecular structure. tRNAs have two regions of fundamental functional importance: the anti-codon, which is responsible for specific mRNA codon recognition, and the 3' end, to which the tRNAs corresponding amino acid is attached (by aminoacyl-tRNA synthetases). tRNAs cope with the degeneracy of the genetic code in two manners: having more than one tRNA (with a specific anti-codon) for a particular amino acid; and 'wobble' base-pairing, i.e. permitting non-standard base-pairing at the 3rd anti-codon position.
Source: Rfam by way of RNAcentral
GGGAAAGUGGCUUAAUGGUAGAGUGCUUGCCUUGCAUGCAUGAGGCCCUGGGUUCAAUUCCUCAGUACCA